Molecule: ribosomal RNA, 253 nt
Filed under: uncultured bacterium
Lineage: Bacteria
Description: partial 16S ribosomal RNA
Rfam family: Bacterial small subunit ribosomal RNA
Source: RNAcentral
UACAGAGGUCUCAAGCGUUGUUCGGAAUUACUGGGCGUAAAGGGUUCGUAGGUGGCUUGUUAAGUCAGACGUGAAAUCCCUCGGCUCAACCGGGGAACUGCGUCUGAGACUGAUGAGCUCGAGUGCAGGAGAGGAACGCGGAAUUCCAGGUGUAGCGGUGAAAUGCGUAGAUAUCUGGAGGAACACCGGUGGCGAAGGCGGCGUUCUGGACUGCAACUGACACUGAGGAACGAAAGCCAGGGGAGCAAACGGG